This is a long non-coding RNA of Choloepus didactylus (southern two-toed sloth), 2085 nucleotides long. RefSeq lists it as uncharacterized. NCBI's taxonomy places the organism in Eukaryota, Metazoa, Chordata, Mammalia, Pilosa, Megalonychidae. The record is from RefSeq and is a predicted model, not a curated record. The transcript is spliced from 3 exons.
UUCUGUUGGCUCUGUUUCUCUGGAUAUUCCUGACUGAAAUAGUGUUCUCUGUUUAUUUCCACAGUUAUCUAGAGGUUCCAUGAGAUCCCAUCAUAUUUCCUGCCAGCAUAGACUGCAGCCUUGGACCAGGUGUGGUAUCCUUGGAGGCCCCCUGUGCCCUGCUGCUCAUGGCUUGUCAAAUGUGGGCCAAUGUGGUAUGAACCCACUGUAGAUGGGAUCCCUUGAAGAUGAUGUUGGGCCUUCAUCUGGGUCACUGGAGAAAUUCAGAUACAGAGAGAGAAAGCCAUGGGGAGGAACUGGAAGCUGGAAGUCAGCGGGAACCCAGAAGAGAAAGAAGAGGACACAACCAUGUCACAGCAAAGCCAGAGAACCCACUGGAACAUUAGCAACUCCAGGAGGAAGCAAGCCUUUCUGCCUCCAACACCUUGAACCAGAGCUGUGAGGCUGCAGCAUAGGAAGCUCAGUGCCCUGCGGACCCAACCCAGGAUAAUUCUCCUGCCCCCUCAUCCUUUCAAACAUCAGGCCUGCCACCUCGAUCUCGGCAUGCUGUGGGCGAGUGUCCCGCUUUUUUGAACCCAUCUGAGGAGACACCCCCUUCCUCCACCUCCCCUGGCAGGGUGGGGCUGGCAGAAUGGAAUGGCCACUCACCACUGACCACCCUGGUAAGUCCACCUGUCCCUUGCUUUCGAGGUGCUCCUAAGAAGCACCAGCCAAGCUCAAGAGGGCACCGUUUUGAGACAAGGGUUUCACGCAGAAAACAUGUGAAGGUUCCACAUUCACUUGCAUCAUGUGCCUUAUCCUUCAGACAGGUGUGAAUGGAUCAAGGGACUCUCCUGACAAAAAGAGUCAAGGGGCAGCUUCUCCAUUUUUUCCCAAUGAGGAGGAGAAGUCAGUAUGUUCAUGACAUGGGUUGGCGGCUUUUGGGGCCUAUGACCAGGGGUCCUCGUGGCCAUGGGGAGAAGGUGGUAUGGAGUCAGCCUCCUGCCCACCCCCUGUUCGCCAUGCCCUGUGGUGUCUGGAUGCCUGAGCCAUGAGGCCAGAGCAGAUGCAGAGUCAUCAGCAGCUGGGCCUUUUGUUCCUGGGCACAGACGCCUUUCCUGCAUAUGUGUGCCCGGCUCCUGGCUGGAAGCCAGGGCAUCUCAUGGGCAGGAUGCAGCCCUCUGUCCCUCCAAGCAUCCUCCAAAGGCUUGUUCUAGCACAGAGGCUGCUGGAUUCUCUCUGAGAUGAGCCUGGAGGGAAACCUCUACAGUUACAAGAUGAUGGAGCCCAAAGAUUUGGCCCAGGUAGGUCUGCCCUUGGGAUGCAGAAAGGGCCUUUCACAUUCUUCCCAAACCUGGUGGGGGGAUGCAGGGGGGCUUCAGAUGCUGCCCAGGGUGGGUCAGGUGGCAGCCAGAAUCCUGACCCCCUGCCUGUGCUCUCCAGCUGAGCCUUGAGACCCCCUUCCCCCUCUUCUCCUGGGCCCUUUCCCCGGUGUUCUCAGCCUCCUCCCCAAGCUGGGAACCAGACCGGCCUCAGGUGGAAUGCCGACUCCACAACCAACUGUGAGCUGGGCCAGCCAUGCAACCUCACAGAGCCUCAGUUUCCACAUGUGUAAAAUGAUGAUCUGUGUGCUGGGCACCUGGUCGGCACUGAGUACCUGGGCAGCGUAUCCAUCUCAGCACAAAGUGUGGAGGCCUGAGCCUCCUCCAGUGUGGACUUCAGGGGAAAAUGUUGGUUACACAGAUUUGUUUUAAAAGCAUAAUAGCACCCCAUUGCAGGCCCCAAUCUCCCUGACCAGGGAAUCCCCUCCUGGCAUCCAUCAUAUCCGUGUUGUUCUCAGGAGCUUGUGCAGGAACCAUCACUGGGGAGAGGGGAAAAUGCUCAAUUCACCAAUUUUGGACAAUUUCAAAAAGGCAUUCGACACCAUAAAACCUGGUUUGUAAAUAGGAUUGUCUGGAAAACCAGAAGAUGAUUUCCCCCAGUGUUCUCUAGUACCUUCAGAGGAUUCCCCUGCAUGGGAACAUGUUUACUGAGGGCGAGACUUGGUAUUCUCAGCCUGAGGUGGGGAUAGGCCUUGGGGGUGUCCCUGAUGCUGUGGUCAAAAUA